AUUAAAGAAAUAUUCAUUAAGAUCAAAGAAGUUUAUACAAUUUCAAGAAUAAAAAAAAUAAAUACAUAAAACUCGUGUCCCUUUGUUAGGGUUGCAUCCAGCCCUAGUGAAGAGAUUAGCCUUCCAUGAAGAGUUGAACAGCUGCACUGCAGGGGGACUUCAUGAUGAUUGGCUCCUUCCUCCCGUCGGCUCCCUCUCAACAAAUCAUCAUCUCUUCCUUUGGGAAAUCAUUCCCAAAGUACCCAAACUCUUCUCUCCCUUUCCUCUUCUUCCCGUGGGAACUUGGCCUGUGAGAGAU
Molecule: long non-coding RNA, 298 nt
Filed under: Phoenix dactylifera (date palm)
Lineage: Eukaryota; Viridiplantae; Streptophyta; Magnoliopsida; Arecales; Arecaceae
Description: long non-coding RNA (PDAC_LNC010601)
Source: RNAcentral